GUGUCAGCAGCCGCGGUAACACGUAGGGGACGAGCGUUGUCCGGAAUCAUUGGGCGUAAAGCGCGCGUAGGCGGCCCGGAAAGUCGGAUGUGAAAUCCCGGGGCUCAACCCCGGGCCUGCAUCCGAUACUCCCGGGCUGGAGGCAGGUAGGGGAGAUCGGAAUUCCUGGUGUAGCGGUGAAAUGCGCAGAUAUCAGGAGGAACACCGGUGGCGAAGGCGGAUCUCUGGGCCUUGCCUGACGCUGAGGCGCGAAAGCUAGGGGAGCGAACAGGAUUAGAUACCCCAGUAGUCC
RNAcentral lists this ribosomal RNA (292 nucleotides) under uncultured bacterium. RNAcentral describes it as "partial 16S ribosomal RNA". It matches the Rfam family "Bacterial small subunit ribosomal RNA", at positions 505 to 796 of the family's 1533-position model. The record is from RNAcentral.